AUUGCAGCAACUGGUGUCUCAAUAUACUUUUACUACUUAGCAUACUGUGAGGACGCCAGGGAAAGAGUGUGCUUAUUGCCCAAGGAAAUUUUUCAUGAAGUUGUUAGUUCCUGAGUCACGUUUUUGAAAAGAACGUGGUUGGUUUGAUUUUAAAUUUCAUCGACAAUAUUGGAAACAAAACGUUCAUCGCGGUUAGCCUUUGAAGCUCUGAAA
This is a non-coding RNA of Bemisia tabaci, 213 nucleotides long. Lineage: Eukaryota; Metazoa; Arthropoda; Insecta; Hemiptera; Aleyrodidae. The record is from RefSeq and is a predicted model, not a curated record.